AGUUUGAUCAUGGCUCAGGACGAACGCUGGCGGCGUGCCUAAUACAUGCAAGUCGAACGAGAAUUGCUUACACCGAGUGCUUGCACUCACCGUAAGGAAUUCGAGUGGCGGACGGGUGAGUAACACGUGGGUAACCUGCCUAUCAGAGGGGGAUAACACUUGGAAACAGGUGCUAAUACCGCAUAAUAUUGAAAAGCGCAUGCUUUUCAAUUAAAAGGCGCUUCUGGUGUCACUGAUAGAUGGACCCGCGGCGUAUUAGCUAGUUGGUGAGGUAACGGCCUACCAAGGCAAUGAUACGUAGCCGAGUUGAGAGACUGAUCGGCCACAAUGGGACUGAGACACGGCCCAUACUCCUACGGGAGGCAGCAGUAGGGAAUCUUCCACAAUGGGCGCAAGCCUGAUGGAGCAACGCCGCGUGCGUGAAGAAGGUCUUCGGAUCGUAAAGCGCUGUUGUUAGAGAAGAACACGGAUAAGAGUAACUGUUUAUGCGUUGACGGUAUCUAACCAGAAAGUCACGGCUAACUACGUGCCAGCAGCCGCGGUAAUACGUAGGUGGCGAGCGUUGUCCGGAUUUAUUGGGCGUAAAGGGAACGCAGGCUGUUUUUUAAGUCCGAUGUGAAAGCCUUCGGCUUAACCGAAGAAGUGCAUUGGAAACUGGGAGACUUGAGUGCAGAAGAGGAGAGUGGAACUCCAUGUGUAGCGGUGAAAUGCGUAGAUAUAUGGAAGAACACCAGUGGCGAAAGCGGCUCUCUGGUCUGUAACUGACGCUGAGGUUCGAAAGCAUGGGUAGCGAACAGGAUUAGAUACCCUGGUAGUCC
This 818-nucleotide ribosomal RNA is filed under the name uncultured bacterium. RNAcentral's name for it is "bacterial SSU rRNA". It matches the Rfam family "Bacterial small subunit ribosomal RNA", at positions 10 to 796 of the family's 1533-position model. The record is from RNAcentral.